UACAGCCUGGGCUGCAAAGUUGGGGUAAUAGGAAACCUGUUCCAAAUCCUCCACCCUCUCAGGCACUUCUCUGGACACCUGUACAGGUAAAGGAGAGAAAAGCAGUUACAUGCAAAUGGUGUGCUGCAAGGUAAUGCCUUUCACUGUACAGUGGAGCUGAUUCUGAGGUGGGAGUAAAGCAAAGCAGCAAGUAGCUUUGAACCUGGACAAACCAUGUUGCCAGGGACUGAUUAAGGGUUCCAGCUGUUUUAGAAGUGGCCGCCCCACCCCCCACAGAAUGUUCACUAAAACACAGCAACCUAGCAGUAUUUCUCUUGUAUUUGGAUCUAGAUUACUAUUGUGGAAGACCCCAGACUCACAAUCAAUGUCCUACAGGAAGAGCCACUAAAUUAACAAACUUAAAUAGAAGUUGUCUGGACUACAAGGCUAAAUUCUGAGUAGAUUGAUGGAAUGUUGGUUUAGCAAUCCAGAUGAAUACAGCAUACAUCAUUAUUGGUCUAUCCUACACGUUGCUUCACCUUGCCACCAUCAACCUCUUCUGGUGAACCUUGCUGGAGAAAAGUGGUCUUUUUCUGAAGAGCAAUGAAUUCCUC
Molecule: long non-coding RNA, 593 nt
Organism: Pseudophryne corroboree (corroboree frog)
Lineage: Eukaryota; Metazoa; Chordata; Amphibia; Anura; Myobatrachidae
Exons: 5
Source: RefSeq, a predicted model, not a curated record